GCGUUCAUAAUGAUUCGUUCUUUGAAACGCACGUCUUGCUUACAAACUUUCAAUCAUGUUAUCUAUCUCCAAGUAUGUUAAUAAUUCUUACUUAUACCCUUUUCAGUUUUUUGCAUUGCAACGUAGUUAUAAGAACGAGCAAGGUUCUGGAUAACCAGAUAAAGCUUUUAUUGUUUAAAUCAAUUGAUGGCUUCUUAGGAAUAACGAGAAAGCAACAACAACGACACACAUAACGAGACGACAUGAAUAGGACAUCAUAAAGUUUCCAACAAUAUCGGUUAUCAGACAACAUAUCAUGGUCUAAAAAUAUUGUAAACAAAUUAUGCAUAUAUACCACCAAAGAUGUGCAAUUCAAAUAAAAAAAUACAUCAAAACAUGAAUGAUAAAAUUUCAUGAAUAACCUCUAUACAAUGCUUGCUUUCAUUAUGUGAUCAUAAAUGGUACCCAUUAGAUACACGGUCUUGGUAAGAGUUAUUCGAGGUUCAAAUUUGAAGUUGGUAAGAAAACACGAAGGCGUUUUAACGGCAACAGAAAUUAAUAACUAACCAAUAAAUUGACUUGACUAACAAAAAUAUCUACCCUUUGCAGCUGGGUUGCUUAUCGAAUAGUUGUUGAUCAC
RNAcentral lists this long non-coding RNA (619 nucleotides) under Mytilus galloprovincialis (Mediterranean mussel). The record is from RNAcentral. Lineage: Eukaryota; Metazoa; Mollusca; Bivalvia; Mytilida; Mytilidae.